Molecule: ribosomal RNA, 6210 nt
Filed under: Triticum aestivum (bread wheat)
Lineage: Eukaryota; Viridiplantae; Streptophyta; Magnoliopsida; Poales; Poaceae
Description: partial small subunit ribosomal RNA
Source: RNAcentral
AUGGGGAACAGCCGGCCCGGAGGGGCGCCUCCGACAACCAGUGGGAACGUGGCGAGGAGCAACGCGGAGGCCGUGACGGAAGCUCCCCGCUUGCGGCCGCACGGAGGGCCAGGUGCGCCGGGUCCGGGGAGCCCAGGUCGGAGCACACCCCUUCCUGGUGGUCGGGAGAGGGGUUCCACGGGGGCAAAUGUGAUGACACCGUCUUGUGACAGGCAGCAGAACAGAGCGGUGGAGGAAGCGCCGCUCGGAGCGUCGAGCGCGGUUAAGAAGAGCAGUGUGCCCAAUUCUCUGUCAAGGGGUUCAGACAUAAACUCUGGCUCUAGGAUGGAUGCAGAGGAGCAAGUGAUGGGUGGGCAAGCGAGCAACGGGGACGCUGGCUCUUCCUCGAAGAAGCGGAAAAAAAGAAUGGAUGCAAGAAGCUACAUCAAGAGAUUCAAGACUGGCGUAAGAGUGGGUGCCUCAGUUGUUGCUUCCCCUGACAGGAUGGGCAAGGAGAAUACUGCAAGUGGGCAUGUGGCAGACAGCAACACUGCUAUCCUGUGUGAAGGUAGCAGGUUGAUUGAAAAAAGCAAGGGACAUUCAAGCCAUGCUGCCUUCAAAGUUUCUAACAGUCCUAUUUCUGGUUUACAUGAAACUUCAGACACAAGAGUUGACCAAUGUUCUACACCAUUGUCAGAGGUACAGCCACAUAAACCUACCGACGUGCAAAAUAUAGCGGUUGAAAGCAGUCUUCCAGCAAAGGCUAGAGAUCCACGCAUUGGCCUUGCAAGGCAAAGCUUUCCAUCACCAUCAUCAUUGCAGAGUGUACCAAUACCUAUUCCUCAUGAAGAGAUUAAGAGCACAGUUGGAGAUGGUGAACCUAUUACUGUUCAAAAAGAAAAUUCAGCUUCAGGACAUCUCAAGGUGACCCAAUCUGAUGGAACAGAUGGUAACUCCAACAUAUGUGCUGCUUGUGGUCGUGGAACCCCAGGAACUUUUAGGUCUUGUGGUGGAAAAGGUUGCAAAAGUAGGUACCAUAUGUCUUGUCUGGAUCAAUAUUUGUCCCUUGGGAAUUGGUUCUGUACCAGCUGUACAAAAAAGAGGUUGCAGUUUGGCUUACAUUAUAUUGUUGAUGGGAUAGAGUCUGUGUGGGAUGUCAAGGAGGCUGAGGGAAUGCAAACUAGCAAGCAGUAUUUUGUCAAGUAUAAAAAUCUGGCACAUGUCCAUAACCGUUGGAUUCCAGAAGGUGAUAUUAAGGUCAUGCCUGGAGGUCCUGAUCUUCUUUCCUUGUUUAACAAGAGGAAUCAUACUGAAAAGACAAUUUGGAAGGAGGAAUGGACUAAGCCACAUCGCCUGUUGAGGAAGAGGCUACUUGUGCCCCCCAAAUUGGCUGAUGAUUUCUUCUGCGCUGAUGAUUUCUUUUGCUCAACUGGUGUCAAUUAUACAUAUUGUACUCUUGAAUGGUUAGUGAAAUGGAGGGGUCUUGGCUAUGAUCAUGCAACAUGGGAACUAGAGACUUCAUCCUGUUUAUGUACGCCGGAAGCUGACGAACUUAAAAAGAACUACGAGAACCGCCGUGAAGCUGCAAAACAAUCAUCUGUUCCCCAAAAAACAAAGAUUAAGCAAAGCUCAUUCCAGAAACUUGAGAGAUUGCCAGAUGGGUGCCAUCCUGAUUUUGACAAUGAUCACUUGUGUUCAAUCAAUCACCUUCGAGAGUACUGGCACAAAUCUCAUGGUGCUGUUCUUGUCGAUGAGAAGGAGUAUGUAAUGAAGACCGUGUUAUUCACAAUGUCUGUAUUACCUGACAUCAGCCAACCUUUUCUAAUUGUCACAACCCCUGGUUCUCUGUCCUUAUGGGAGGUUCAGUUCAAUAAGUUGGCACCAUUUAUCAAUGUUGUUGUGUAUGACGGGGGGAAAGAUGAGCUGAAAUUAAUUCGAGAUUUGGAAUUCUAUGAGAGUGGAAGCCGCAGUAUGUUACAGGUUCUCUUAUCCCAUCCUGAUGCUAUCCUAGAGGAUAUUGAACCUAUAGCACACAUUGGUUGGGAAGCAGUCAUAGUUGAUUGUUAUGAAAAGUCAGCUCUACAAUAUCUCGAACAACUGAAGGAAAUUCCCACUGACUUCAGAAUGUUGCUUGUGAGCUCCCAAAUUAAGGAUAAUCUUCCCGAGCACGUGAAACUUCUAGCAUUCCUUAAUUCUGGAGAGCAAGAAAAUGGCGAUCGCGUUGAUACUGCUGAGACCCUUAUGAUGCUGGAAGGAAACUUCAAAAGUCAUAUUGCAUAUGAGCGUCAAGCAGAUUCUUUAAAAAUAUUGGAGCACUGGGUUCCUGCUUACAUUUCACAACUGCAGCUGCAGAUAUAUUGUUCCAUACUGCUUUCAAACUCAUCUGUCCUCCAGUCGCAGAUGAAAAGUGAUAAAGCUCUUUAUGACAUUAUUAUGUCUCUCUCAAAGUGCUGUGAUGACCCUUACCUUGUUGAUGAAUCCCUGCGACCUCCUGUCAACAAUCAUGAUCACACUGAUCCUAUAGUUACGAGAGUGCAAGCAUGUGGCAAGCUACUGCUUCUUCAAAAAAUGCUUGAAGCAAUAAGGAACAAGAGGCUAAGAGUUAUUAUUCUUUUUCAAUCUGGUGUAGCAGGUGGAAGCUCAGUGGGUGAUACAUUGGAAACUGUUGUGCGUCACAAAUUUGGCCCGGAGUCAUAUGAACGUGUUGAAUUUCGUGGAUCAUUCUCAAAGAAAGCAGUGGCACUUAAUAAGUUCAAUGACAAGACUAAGGGGAGAUUUGUUUUUCUGAUUGAAACAAGUGCAUGCCUCCCAAGUAUUGAGCUGUCGUCUGUCGAUGCCAUUAUUAUAUAUAAUAGUGACUGGAACCCACUAAAUGAUCAAAAUGCUCUUGAAAAAAUCAAAAUAGAGGCACAACUUAGGCAUCCAAGUAUUUUUCGCUUAUACACUCCUUUCACAAUGGAGGAGAAGUGGCUUGUGCUUGCAAAACAGGGGAUGCUAAUUGAUAAGGAUAUAACACACAGCAUAAGCCAUUCCUUGAUUAGUUGGGGUGCAUCAUGUCUCUUCUCUAGACUUGAUGAGCUUAAGCAUGACAACUGUGCAAGUAAAAGCUCUGAAAGAGACAACUUUAUGAAUAAAGUAAUUUCAGAGUUCUUGGGAAAAUUAGCCACAAAUAUUGUAGGCAGCACCAAAAUUGCCUGCACAUCCAUAUCGGAAGCCAAUAUGAGCGGGAAAUUUUACUCAAGAAACAUUACUCUAAUUGGUGAAAAAGAGGAAAUGCGUGCAUUGGAUGGAGAUCCAUCUAAUUUCUGGUCAAAUUUACUGGAUGGAAAAUCCCCUGGUUGGAGCUAUAUAUCUGAGCCACCACAAUCAAGCCAUAUGAUCGUACAGAACUUGGAAGAACGAGCCAAGGAUCCUGCUGAAGAAGCCAAUCAAAGCAGAAGGAAGCGUAGAAAGGUUGGCGAAAUCACAGGUCCAUCUUCAAAAAGUUCACCUGACAACAAUCAUGAUGAUAUGUUGCCUGAAAACUGUUCUACAUCGAGUCCUGCUCUUCAACCGCUUGAUGACACACAACAAAAAUUAGGGGUUGAAAAGCGAAUGAGCACACCCAAGAAUCUUCACAUCCAACUUAAGAAAGAGCUAUCAAAAUUAAUUACGGCCCUACAAUUGCCGGAUGAUGUAAGAGCUAUGGCUGAACAGUUGUUUGAGUAUUUUUUGAAGAAUCAUCUUGUUGUUACAGAGCCAGUGGGCAUACUGCACGCAAUCAUCAUAUCCUUGUGUUGGCAUGCUGCUUCUGUUCUUAAGUAUAAGAUAAAUUGUGGAGAGUCGAUUGCCCUUGCUGGAAAAAGCUUGAACUGUGAGUGCAAUGAAGAGCUUGCAUCAUUCAUCUAUGGAAGAUUAAGGUUCCCAGAGGAAAAAAAUCCAAAUAGAGCAAUUGAAAUUAGCAUCAAUGGUCAACCAGUGUCAGUAGAGGACACCCAAAUCUCAUGGGAGGAGACCUCUACCAACUUGAGAAACAACCACAUGCUCCAAAGUAAGGAAAUGGAUCAUGGUAAUUUGACGAGUACUGGACCACAAGAGGUUUCAUCUAGUGCUGAGCAUAUGAUCCCAGAGGUGCAGGAACCUAUCCAGGACACUCAUGGAGAAUGUCAUGUGUCAAAUGAUGAGCUUCCUAACAUGAUUGUGGAGAAAAGAACAGAGUUAGUUGACAACAAUCAUGACAAUUUCACAAAUGGUGCACCACAAGUGGUCUCAUCUGGUGCUGAUCACAUGAUCUCAGAGGAGCAGGAACCUGUUCAAGAAACUCACAGAGAAUGUCAUUUGUCAAAGGAUAACCUUCCUAACAUGAUCGUGGAGAAAAGAAUGGAGUUAAUUGACAAUGUUUUCUCCUUGAGAGAAAAGAAUAUCCUUUGUAAACAACAGCUUGAGAUCUCAGGUUUAGACACAUACACACAGAACAACGUUAUCAGACUGAAAGAAGUGUGCAUUUUAGUUCUGAAGCAUAUUCGUAGAAGUCACAUUGAUGAAGUGACCAGGAGUGACAAAAUACAGCUAACUGUUCAGUGGUUCACUAUGCUUAUGUGUGCAUUUUUGGACCACAUGAGGCUCCAGCAUAACAAACUCGAGGCAGUGCAGUCUGAUAGGUGGCUCGUAGAGCGACAUCUGAAGAAGAAUCUCCAGCAGGUAGCAAAUUCAGGCCAAUUAGAUCAAGACUUUGAUCGGCAUAUUGCUCUACCAGAUUCAAACUUUGUUAUGGAAGAAUUCAUCCAUUUUAAGGAGCAGAGUGGUGAAGGACCAGCAUCAGAAGCUGUUGAUUUUCCAGGAAACUGCAUCCUUAGUUCUGAUGGCAUGGGUGUACAAAGAGCUGGUUGUUCAUCAAGUACUAUUCCUGCAAAUGAUGAUUCAGUUGGUCAGGAAUCUUCAAUUGGUGACUGUAGAAAUACUGGACAUGUUGAGGCAGAAAAUGUUGCUAAUCCAGAUCAAGUCCACUUGGAGUCACCAGUUAGUCCAGCUACCUUACCAGUGUCUACUGAAUUUGAAACUCAGACUUGCCAAUCAAGUAUGCAUGUGGAACAAAGUCCUGAAGCGCAACAGUCAACCUCAAUGAAAGAUCAACCUGCAGAAAAACGAGCAUGUAUUGUGGGUCCUGAGGCAGCAAUGCAGGAUCAGUCAGCAGAGGCUGAGCGAGCAGGUACCUUGGGUGCCAUAUCAGCUCAGGUUUUGCCGCUUGAAAUGCAAUCAUCAUCAACCUCAAUGCGGGGCGUUCCCUUUGUGUCUGGUCUGCAGAGUCCGUCUGUCCAUCAAAGUGUAGUACCUUCAUUGGAUCCACAUGCAGGAGUAGAGUUAUCUGGCACUGUGACACCUCAUGCUAUACAACCACCAGCCUCAAUGCCUGUGGAACAGAGUACCAGUCUGCCUGCCCAACAAAGCUUAGCAACAUUGCGUCAUCCACCAGCAGAAGCAGAACCAGCAGGUAUUCUGGCCACAGAGGUAGCUUGCGAUUUGCAGCCUGAAGCCCGACUGUCAACCUCAAUGCAGGAUCAACCUGCAGAAGAAGGAGCAUGUAUCUUGGGCGCCACUGCUGCUCGAGGUUCGCAGCCUGAAGUGCAACCAUCAACCUCAUUGGAUUCACAUGGCAGAGGAGAAUCAACAGAUACGUUGGGUGUGGUGACAGCUCCUGAUAUGCAAUCAGAAAUACAACCAUCAGCCUUGAUGCAGGAUCAACCUGUGGCAGCAGAAGGAGCAUGUGUUCUAGGCACGACAGUAGCCCAGGAUUUGCAGCCUGAACUGCAAACAGCAACCACAGUUCAGCAUGACCCACUUGAAAGAACACGCUCUGAAGAAAGGAGACAAGCUGGUUUUGAACCAAACACAGCAGCCAGUCCUGAGCAUGAUCUGCAGUCUGAAAUACAGCCAUCAGCCUUAAUGCGUGAUCGACCUGCAGGAGCAGAAGGAGCAGGUAUGGUAGGCAGUACGGCAGCCCAGGAUUUGCAGCCUGAACAGCAAUUAUCAACCACAGUUCAGCAUAUCCCUACCGGUCCUGAGCAGCCUACCCAACUCCCUCCAGUCACGCCAUUGGUGUUUAAUAAUCCAAUCAUUAGUGAUGAACCGCUGAGAAAUGAGUUGGAAAAAAUAAUUCAUUGGAGCACUUUGCUUGAUAAAGGCCAUGACGAUAAGGUUUUUUUUUUGUUUUGUUUGUCUAUUAUCUGUUUUACUGUAAAUUGCAUGUGCUAG